CCUACGGGUGGCAGCAGUGAGGAAUAUUGGUCAAUGGGCGCGAGCCUGACCCAGCCAAGUAGCGUGAAGGAUGACUGCCCUACGGGUUGUAAACUUCUUUUAUAAAGGAAUAAAGUGAGGCACGUGUGCCUUUUUGUCUGUACUUUAUGAAUAAGGAUCGGCUAACUCCGUGCCAGCAGCCGCGGUAAUACGGAGGAUCCGAGCUUUAUCCGGAUUUAUUGGGUUUAAAGGGAGCGUAGAUGGGUUGUUAAGUCAGUUGUGAAAGUUUGCGGCUCAACCGGAAAAUUGCAAUUGAUACUGGCAGCCUUGAGUACAGUUGAGGUAGGCGGAAUGCGUGGUGUAGCGGUGAAAUGCUUAGAUAACACGAAGAACGCCGAUUGCGAAGGCAGCUUACUAAACUGCCACUGACAUUGAUGCUCGAAAGUGUGGGGAUCAAACAGGAGUAGAUACCCGAGUAGGC
Molecule: ribosomal RNA, 460 nt
Filed under: uncultured bacterium
Lineage: Bacteria
Description: partial 16S ribosomal RNA
Rfam family: Bacterial small subunit ribosomal RNA
Source: RNAcentral